Molecule: ribosomal RNA, 194 nt
Filed under: uncultured bacterium
Lineage: Bacteria
Description: partial 16S ribosomal RNA
Rfam family: Bacterial small subunit ribosomal RNA
Source: RNAcentral
GCAACUCGACUACAUGAAGCCGGAAUCGCUAGUAAUCGCGGAUCAGAAUGCCGCGGUGAAUACGUUCCCGGGUCUUGUACACACCGCCCGUCACACCAUGGGAGCCGGAAAUGCCCGAAGUCAGUGACCCAACCGCGAGGAGGGAGCUGCCGAAGGCAGGUCUGGUAACUGGGGUGAAGUCGUAACAAGGUACC